This 206-nucleotide long non-coding RNA is filed under the name Gossypium raimondii (Peruvian cotton). RNAcentral describes it as "long non-coding RNA (GRAI_LNC004767)". Lineage: Eukaryota; Viridiplantae; Streptophyta; Magnoliopsida; Malvales; Malvaceae. The record is from RNAcentral.
AAAAUUAAGAGAAAAAGGAGAUUAGUCACCAUUAUCAGCGGUGGACACCUUGGUUUCAACAAAAAAAGAAAAAGAAAAAGAAAAAGAGAAAUUAUAUAUAGAACCAAAUUUGUAAAGAGUGUACUUUAUAGUUUAUAAUUGUUGUUAUUAUAGGUGGAAAGUAGUUAUAGAAGUUAAAAGUUAAGCAUAAAAGUCGGUCCUACACC